GUGCUCAACCUCUUCAUCCGUAUACUGAAAGAGAAACAUGACAAAUCAAGAGCAAUUUUUCCGUUAUAGACAUGCAAAUAUACUACAACGGAAAAAGAUGAUGAAUAUUGCAACUAAAGAUUUUCAAAAUGAAAAUAGUGAUAAAUACAAAAUGCACUUCAAGAUUGUUCAGAAAGAAGAGAGGAUAAGCAAAUGCAAAGUACAAGAUGACUGAAGUUACCAAGACAUCAGACUUAUGAAGCCCUAAUUAUUGAUAUAUUUUACAAGUUUGAUAGUUAAGUUAAAUUAAUUUAAGGCUGCAUUCGGAUAGGUGUGAAUUUGAAAUGAUAAAGUAUUUCAAUUUGAUAUUAUGUUGAAAUUUUUUAAUUUUUCACUUGAAACACAAGUUCAAAUUCUCAAUCAUUUCAAAUGC
Molecule: unclassified non-coding RNA, 412 nt
Filed under: Hevea brasiliensis (rubber tree)
Lineage: Eukaryota; Viridiplantae; Streptophyta; Magnoliopsida; Malpighiales; Euphorbiaceae
Source: RNAcentral